ACAUCUCUUAUCGAGGAUCCAUUGGAGGGCAAGUCUGGUGCCAGCAGCCGCGGUAAUUCCAGCUCCAAUAGCGUAUAUUAAAGUUGUUGCAGUUAMAACGCUCGUAGUCGGAUUUCGAAGCACGCUCACGGGGUCGGUUCUUGCUGUUCCUGUGGGGGUGUCUUCUUAUUCUGGGACGCGGUGUGCGGGACUUGAUUGUCUCUGCACAUCUGCGGGCCGGACGUUUACUGUGAAGAAAUUAGGGUGUUCAAAGCAGGCGUUUGCUAUGAAUACGUGAGCAUGGAAUAAUAGAAUAGGACUUGGGCUCUAUUUUGUUGGUUUCCGGAGAACAAGUAAUGAUUAAUAGGGACAGUUGGGGGCAUUCGUAUUUCAUUGUCAGAGGUGAAAUUCUUGGAUUGAUGGAAGACGAACAACUGCGAAAGCAUCUGCCAAGGAUGUUUUCAUUGAUCAAGAACGAAAGUUAGGGGAUCGAAGACGAUCAGAURCCGUCGUA
Molecule: ribosomal RNA, 493 nt
Filed under: Porphyra linearis
Lineage: Eukaryota; Rhodophyta; Bangiophyceae; Bangiales; Bangiaceae
Description: SSU rRNA
Rfam family: Eukaryotic small subunit ribosomal RNA
Source: RNAcentral